RNAcentral lists this long non-coding RNA (1076 nucleotides) under Manacus vitellinus (golden-collared manakin). Its description in RNAcentral is "lncRNA (ENSMVIG00005004607.1)". The record is from RNAcentral. Lineage: Eukaryota; Metazoa; Chordata; Aves; Passeriformes; Pipridae.
UGAUGAAACUGGGUAUAUUCAGGAAUUAUAUAGCUGUAGAAGCAGUUUCUCAGCCAAAUCCAAUUGUCUAGUUUGACUAUUUUUACUAUUACUAGGUUUGGGACUUUAAAGAGGAACAUUUCUACUUGCUUCCUGAGAUUUCACAGAUUCCAGAAGAAAUUUCACAGGAGACAAAUUUUCUGACUGCCUGUGUGACUACAUCAGAACAUGUCAUCCCUGUAGAGUGGAAAUAAUCUUUUGUGGGGGUUUUGCUUUUUGCUCAAACUUCCUAAUUUGCAAACUCUUUAGAGAAGUGACUCAACUGAUUUUCCCAAUGCCUGGCACAGUUUGGUAAUGAGAUGAAAUAAUUCUAAUAACUUCCCUAACUGCAGUGCCCUUGUUGCCUCUGUUGUUGUCUCUUGGCUUUGCCUGCACAGAAAAUAUCUGUCAUUAUCCUGCUAGACAUAAAUAACAGCUUCUUUGGAAGACAGAGAUUGUAUUUUUUACUGGACCUAUCUACUCUUAUUUUCCAUAAGCAACAGCCACCCCACCCUGUGUGUGCAAUGAGGCCACUGAGUCACCAGCAUGAAGCAGUGUCCAGCUCAUACAUCUCACCAGGGAGGACCCAAAAUCCCCUCCAAAGAAGAGAAGAGACAUCUUUCUUCAGAUGAUAAUUAGAGGCUGAAAUGACCCUGAUGGUGACGCAGAGCUGUGGGUGCCACGCAUUGCUCAGACUCUGCAGGACCAGACCUACAGCUGCUGCACUAAAUUUCAAUGUCUUCUCUUCAGAUGAUGAUGAAAGGAAGGCUGCCCUGUCUGUGCAUCACCUAACAGGAAAGACCUCAGGACAAAGAGCUCAGACCCUCCAGAAAUCUUUCAGAGAGAAGCUCCAGCUCUCCCUUAUCUCUUUUAAAGUUAACACAUCACACUUUGUACAUGCUCAGCAACAAAGUUCCUAAUGUUGUUUCCCGAUAACCCAGAGGCCCGGGACAGCAAUGCUGUUGCUGUUUCAUAGAGGGCGAGAGCGGGACACUUGCUCCCCUGGCUGCCGACAAUCAGCACUUUGUGAACAUCCCACACUAGAGGUUUGCACAGAG